This 460-nucleotide ribosomal RNA is filed under the name uncultured bacterium. RNAcentral describes it as "bacterial SSU rRNA". It matches the Rfam family "Bacterial small subunit ribosomal RNA", at positions 29 to 532 of the family's 1533-position model. The record is from RNAcentral.
AACGAACGCUGGCGGCAUGCCUAACACAUGCAAGUCGAACGAGACCUUCGGGUCUAGUGGCGCACGGGUGCGUAACGCGUGGGAACCUGCCUUUAGGUUCGGAAUAACUCAGAGAAAUUUGAGCUAAUACCGGAUAAUGUCUUCGGACCAAAGAUUUAUCGCCUUUAGAUGGGCCCGCGUUGGAUUAGCUAGUUGGUGGGGUAAAGGCCUACCAAGGCGACGAUCCAUAGCUGGUCUGAGAGGAUGAUCAGCCACACUGGGACUGAGACACGGCCCAGACUCCUACGGGAGGCAGCAGUGGGGAAUAUUGGACAAUGGGCGAAAGCCUGAUCCAGCAAUGCCGCGUGAGUGAUGAAGGCCUUAGGGUUGUAAAGCUCUUUACUGGACGAUAACGACGGUACCGAGAGAAUAAGCCCCCGGGCUAACCUCCGUGCCAGCAGCCGCGGUAAUGUGACUACUG